AAGAAAUCCACCCUCCGGAUAUGCAGAAUGAUGUUGUUGUAAUCACUCUUCAAAGGGAGAUCCACAGUAAACAAAUGUUAGCUUGUCGCCUCUGCAGCUACUUUUGGUGAGCUGCAGAACUUCCAGAAAAAAGGCUGGGACUAAGGGGAGAGGAAAAAUUUAGCUGUAGAACAAGUUGACUCUCUGAAGUUUGCCAGCAUUACUACAAACCAGUAAGACUGAGAAACUAAACCAUCCCAUAAAGAAAAGUGCUUGGACCAGAUAAUGUUGUGUAAUAGUAAUUGGAUUCCAGUGCCUGACGUUUCCAGAAUUUAAACAAGCAACUGCUUCUUAUGGUGUUUGUGCUCUAUUUGAAGCAGAGAGGUGGGAGUGACACGUAAAGAUUCAUCUUUGGAAAAGGUACCAUAUCAGGAUGGGCGAGCUGUCUCCAGCUAAGCAAAUUAACCUCUUGAGAAACAAGAGAAUGCAAGUUAACAGGUUCUGAUUUUGCCUAUGAAAAUGAGCUUCAGAUGUGAGGCUGUGAUCUAUGUAAAUUAAAUGUAAUCCCUCAGUAUCAGAAGAUAAUUCUACUUGGGCCACUUAAGGACAAAAAAACGUGCUAACGGUCCAUGCUGCAACACCAGACUAAGUCAUCUGGUGCUGAGAUAAGAGCUGCGUGGUGAAACCUGCUGCUAGUUUGUGUUUCAUGGGCAAUCUGGAGUACCGAGGAGCACGUCAGGCCUUGACGCCCACCAUUACAGCAGCGUGGAGCCCUGUCUGACACAGCAGUGUGUGGCAUUGCCUAAGAUGGUGGCCACCCCAGGCCUGGCAGGAGGGUGGAUAAAUGUGAUGAUGCUUUCUGAGGCCGGGGCUUGCAAGAAAGGCAUUGCAGCCCUGCUGCUCAUGCUGUCUGAGGUGUCUGUUGCCACACCGUCUGGCUCAGCCAUGCUGAAACAGUGCUCACAGAUGUGAGACCAGCAGCAGCGGCAGAAAGACUUUGUCAACACCAGCAAAUCACUGUUUCUACCUCUGCAAGGUCAGCUUCUGAAGGCAACGUGUUCAAGACCACAGCUCCACAACUGGCUGUUGCCCUCGACUGUUGAGUUGUUGUUCUACAAAGCUGAAUUCAUACAGAACUUGAAUACCAUGUGCAAAAGAAGAAAAAAAAUGCAGAAGACUCAGAAAAAGGCAGCAGGAAUGAUCAAAAGUCUGAGCAAGAAGUGACUGAACUGCUUGGAUUCUUCAGUUCAGAGAAUAAAUGAGCAAGAGUAGUCCGAAAUGAUCAGAAGAUACAUGGGAAUAGAAGCGUUCAGAAGGAAGAAGGGUGAAGUCUGUCUCAGAGAAGUCAUCUCCACAUCAGCGGGUGACAGGCUAUGCUGGUAAUUCCUAUAGGGAGUCCACCUGGGAUGCUGGCACUGGAACCUCUGCACUACUGCCCAUUCCCAGGAAGGAUUUCAUCCCUUUAAGAGGACUGGCCGAGUUCCCACCUCUAGUGUUGCAGUCUGCUUGAAAACUCAGACAUCAAUAAAACCAUUAAGGUUCCAGAAGAAGCUUUAAGAGGAAGUGCCAGAACUUUGUUAGGGAAAGAUUGCGGUACUUUUAGUCCCUGAGGAAGCCUGGCAAGAUUAUAAAGAUAGCAGUGUGCUCCGCAGAAGACUGAGAGGUGGAGGAAGCAGACAAGAUGGAAAAGUUAAUAGGAAGAAGGAAAAGUGUAAAAGAGUGAAUGAAUCCAUGCAGAAGAUCAUGAACACAUUGCCAAAUCAUAUUUGCGAAACACCGCUUCCUGCUGAUACCCAAAUAUUAAU
This is a long non-coding RNA of Cygnus olor (mute swan), 1784 nucleotides long. RefSeq lists it as uncharacterized. The record is from RefSeq and is a predicted model, not a curated record. NCBI's taxonomy places the organism in Eukaryota, Metazoa, Chordata, Aves, Anseriformes, Anatidae. The transcript has 11 exons.